AGGCCAGUAGCUCAAUUUGGCAGAGCGUCGGUCUCCAAAACCGAAGGUUGGGGGUUUCGAUUCCCUCCUGGCCUG
This 75-nucleotide transfer RNA is filed under the name Phycisphaerales bacterium. Its description in RNAcentral is "tRNA-Trp". It matches the Rfam family "tRNA". From Rfam's summary of the family: Transfer RNA (tRNA) molecules are approximately 80 nucleotides in length. Their secondary structure includes four short double-helical elements and three loops (D, anti-codon, and T loops). Lineage: Bacteria; Pseudomonadati; Planctomycetota; Phycisphaerae; Phycisphaerales. The record is from RNAcentral.